This 430-nucleotide ribosomal RNA is filed under the name Acidobacteriota bacterium. RNAcentral describes it as "Acidobacteria bacterium partial 16S ribosomal RNA". It matches the Rfam family "Bacterial small subunit ribosomal RNA", at positions 355 to 776 of the family's 1533-position model. Lineage: Bacteria; Pseudomonadati; Acidobacteriota. The record is from RNAcentral.
UGGGGAAUAUUGGACAAUGGGCGAAAGCCUGAUCCAGCCAUGCCGCGUGUGUGAAGAAGGCCUUUUGGUUGUAAAGCACUUUAAGCGAGGAGGAGGCUACUGAGAUUAAUACUCUUGGAUAGUGGACGUUACUCGCAGAGUAAGCACCGGCUAACUCUGUGCCAGCAGCCGCGGUAAUACAGAGGGUGCGAGCGUUAAUCGGAUUUACUGGGCGUAAAGCGUGCGUAGGCGGCUUCUUAAGUCGGAUGUGAAAUCCCUGAGCUUAACUUAGGAAUUGCAUUCGAUACUGGGAAGCUAGAGUAUGGGAGAGGAUGGUAGAAUUCCAGGUGUAGCGGUGAAAUGCGUAGAGAUCUGGAGGAAUACCGAUGGCGAAGGCAGCCAUCUGGCCUAAUACUGACGCUGAGGUACGAAAGCAUGGGGAGCAAACAGG